RNAcentral lists this small nuclear RNA (308 nucleotides) under Pteropus vampyrus (large flying fox). RNAcentral describes it as "7SK RNA (ENSPVAG00000025286.1)". It matches the Rfam family "7SK RNA". From Rfam's summary of the family: 7SK was discovered as an abundant small nuclear RNA in the mid-70s but a possible function has only recently been suggested. Two independent studies have found that 7SK RNA binds the CDK9/cyclin T complex (known as elongation factor P-TEFb). The record is from RNAcentral. Lineage: Eukaryota; Metazoa; Chordata; Mammalia; Chiroptera; Pteropodidae.
GGACAUGAGAGUGAUCCACUGAUCACCAGGGUGGAUUCUACUGAUCUGUCUGGCUAGGCGGUUGUCCCGUUUCUCUCUCUUCACUCCAUGUGCUUCCCUCCGGAGGCUGUGCACUCAGUGGAAUGGGACUUCCUUCCCCGAUAGGAUAGGACAGUUCUUCGGUCAAGGGUAUAUGAGUAGCUGUGCUCUCCUGCUAGAACCUCCAAACAGCUCUCAAGGUCCAUUGUAGGAGAAUGUAGGGUAGUCAAACUUCCAAGACUCCAGACACAUUCAAAUGAGGCACUGCACAUGGCAGUGUGCCUUUCUUA